AUUUUGUCAGUUUCGUUGCUGUCCGUUAUCUUAGCUCCAUCAUCUGCACAGGGUGUAUCAGCAGUCUUUGGUAAGUCUGAUCUGGUGCUCAAAUUGUGCAAAAAUGAUGUGUCUUCAUAUGUCAACCAUUUCCAAUAGGGUUUAUGUGCUGCUCUCACAUUUUGAAUAGAUUCAAUAGCACUUAGGCAAGGUGCCAUUUCUCCAGUUACCUGAGGCAGAGGAUCUCUUAGCAAAGUUUUUACAGUCAUGCAGACUGAUUCAGACAAG
RNAcentral lists this long non-coding RNA (267 nucleotides) under Gallus gallus (chicken). The record is from RNAcentral. Lineage: Eukaryota; Metazoa; Chordata; Aves; Galliformes; Phasianidae.